GCCUGGUCUACUGGUCUUCUCUAUCUUAGACAUUUUUUCUAUGGGCUUCUCUACUAUGGAUCGAAUUUGAGGUGCCAAAACUCAAUAGGAGGUGUGUUAGUGGCGAAGGAGGAGGAGGGGUCGAUGGUGGCCUCAUCCGUGGCAAUCUUGAGGGCAGAGUGGUAGCGACGGAGGAGGUGGAGGUCGUCCUCGAUUUCUUGUUGCGUGCAGCAGUGGUGGCGGAAGGGCUCCAGCGUUGGC
Molecule: long non-coding RNA, 240 nt
Filed under: Elaeis guineensis (African oil palm)
Lineage: Eukaryota; Viridiplantae; Streptophyta; Magnoliopsida; Arecales; Arecaceae
Description: long non-coding RNA (EGUI_LNC032203)
Source: RNAcentral